CACGUAGGGCGCAAGCGUUGUCCGGAAUUAUUGGGCGUAAAGAGCUCGUAGGUGGUUUGUUACGUCUGCUGUGAAAACCUAGGGCUUAACCCUGGGCUUGCAGUGGAUACGGGCAGACUAGAGGUAGGUAGGGGAGGAUGGAAUUCCUGGUGUAGCGGUGAAAUGCGCAGAUAUCAGGAGGAACACCGGUGGCGAAGGCGGGUCUCUGGGCCGAUACUGACGCUGAGGAGCGAAAGCGUGGGGAGCGAACAGG
This 253-nucleotide ribosomal RNA is filed under the name uncultured bacterium. Its description in RNAcentral is "partial 16S ribosomal RNA". It matches the Rfam family "Bacterial small subunit ribosomal RNA", at positions 524 to 776 of the family's 1533-position model. The record is from RNAcentral.